GUAUUACCAGCUCAGUCGGUAGAGCACGGGACUCUUACUUGCAAGGUCAUAGGUUUGAGCCUAGAUGAACCA
Molecule: non-coding RNA, 72 nt
Organism: Podarcis lilfordi (Lilford's wall lizard)
Lineage: Eukaryota; Metazoa; Chordata; Lepidosauria; Squamata; Lacertidae
Source: the annotation of a GenBank genome assembly